This 343-nucleotide unclassified non-coding RNA is filed under the name soil metagenome. RNAcentral describes it as "partial contains 5.8S ribosomal RNA, internal transcribed spacer 2, and large subunit ribosomal RNA". The stretch from base 1 to 120 matches the Rfam family "5.8S ribosomal RNA", at positions 35 to 154 of the family's 154-position model. The record is from RNAcentral.
GAUGAAGAACGCAGCGAAAUGCGAUAAGUAAUGUGAAUUGCAGAAUUCAGUGAAUCAUCGAAUCUUUGAACGCACAUUGCGCCUGCUAGUAUUCUGGCGGGCAUGCCUGUCCGAGCGUCAUUUCAACCCUCAAGCCCCCGGGCUUGGUGUUGGGGAUCGGCGAGCCUCCGCGCCCGCCGUCCCCUAAAUCUAGUGGCGGUCUCGCUGUAGCUUCCUCUGCGUAGUAGCACACCUCGCACUGGGAAACAGCGCGGCCACGCCGUUAAACCCCCAACUUCUGAACGUUUGACCUCGGAUCAGGUAGGAAUACCCGCUGAACUUAAGCAUAUCAAUAAGCGGAGGA